GAGAAGUAAUUCCUCCAAAGGUGGAUAUUGAGGGAGAAACAGAAAAAUCCAAGACAAUCCCUUGUGGAAGAAAAUUCUCCAACCCAAAACUCAACCGAACUCAAAGGGCUGAACAGCGCGUCAAUUAAGACCUGUCAAAUAUAAUCACACGAUCUAAUAGUUUUAAAUACGCAAAAUAAAGAGCACCAAAGUAAAUGUCAUUCAGAAAUAACAACAACAAAACCAGAGCACCCCGAUGCAUUUAGGCCUCAAGGAAUUCCAAAGUAGUGUAUUAGGUAUAGUAAAUAUAUAUGUAAUUAGAAAUGUUUAGAGAAAUUAGAGAGAUGUGUUUUUUUUAAAAGAUUUGGCCUAUAAAACAGUUAACAAUUCCAGUAAAGAAG
Molecule: long non-coding RNA, 380 nt
Filed under: Homo sapiens (human)
Lineage: Eukaryota; Metazoa; Chordata; Mammalia; Primates; Hominidae
Description: non-protein coding lnc-TUBB8P12-2:4
Source: RNAcentral